GAUGAAGAACGCAGCGAAAUGCGUUACGUAAUGUGAACUGCAGAAUUCAGUGAAUCAUCGAGUCUUUGAACGCACAUUGCGCCCCCUGGUAUUCCGGGGGGCAUGCCUGUCCGAGCGUCAUUGCUGCCCUCAAGCACGGCUUGUGUGUUGGGCCUCCGCCCCCCGGCUCCCGGGGGGCGGGCCCGAAAGGCAGCGGCGGCACCGCGUCCGGUCCUCGAGCGUAUGGGGCUUCGUCACCCGCUCCGUAGGCCCGGCCGGCGCCCGCCGGCGACCCCCCUCAAUCUUUCCAGGUUGACCUCGGAUCAGGUAGGGAUACCCGCUGAACUUAAGCAUAUCAAUAAGCGGAGGA
RNAcentral lists this unclassified non-coding RNA (349 nucleotides) under soil metagenome. RNAcentral describes it as "partial contains 5.8S ribosomal RNA, internal transcribed spacer 2, and large subunit ribosomal RNA". The stretch from base 1 to 120 matches the Rfam family "5.8S ribosomal RNA", at positions 35 to 154 of the family's 154-position model. The record is from RNAcentral.